AUUGAACGCUGGCGGCAUGCCUUACACAUGCAAGUCGAACGGCAGCACGGGGGCAACCCUGGUGGCGAGUGGCGAACGGGUGAGUAAUGCAUCGGAACGUGCCCCGUAGCGGGGGAUAACCAGUCGAAAGACUGGCUAAUACCGCAUACGCUCCACGGAGGAAAGCAGGGGAUCGCAAGGCCUUGCACUAUGGGAGCGGCCGAUGCCCGAUUAGCUAGUUGGUGAGGUAAAGGCUCACCAAGGCGACGAUCGGCAGCUGGUUUGAGAGAACGACCAGCCACACUGGGACUGAGACACGGCCCAGACUCCUACGGGAGGCAGCAGUGGGGAAUUUUGGACAAUGGGCGCAAGCCUGAUCCAGCCAUGCCGCGUGGGUGAUGAAGGCCUU
This 388-nucleotide ribosomal RNA is filed under the name uncultured bacterium. RNAcentral's name for it is "bacterial SSU rRNA". It matches the Rfam family "Bacterial small subunit ribosomal RNA", at positions 29 to 418 of the family's 1533-position model. The record is from RNAcentral.